RNAcentral lists this ribosomal RNA (1034 nucleotides) under Longiostiolum sp. LL-2023a. RNAcentral's name for it is "SSU rRNA". It matches the Rfam family "Eukaryotic small subunit ribosomal RNA", at positions 75 to 1119 of the family's 1831-position model. Lineage: Eukaryota; Fungi; Ascomycota; Dothideomycetes; Pleosporales; Longiostiolaceae. The record is from RNAcentral.
UAUACCGUGAAACUGCGAAUGGCUCAUUAAAUCAGUUAUCGUUUAUUUGAUAGUACCUUACUACUUGGAUAACCGUGGUAAUUCUAGAGCUAAUACAUGCUGAAAACCCCGACUUCGGGAGGGGUGUAUUUAUUAGAUAAAAAACCAAUGCCUUUCGGGGCUCUUUGGUGAUUCAUAAUAACUUUUCAGAUCGCAUGGCCUUGCGCCGGCGACGGUUCAUUCAAAUUUCUGCCCUAUCAACUUUCGAUGGUAAGGUAUUGGCUUACCAUGGUUUCAACGGGUAACGGGGAAUUAGGGUUCGAUUCCGGAGAGGGAGCCUGAGAAACGGCUACCACAUCCAAGGAAGGCAGCAGGCGCGCAAAUUACCCAAUCCCGACACGGGGAGGUAGUGACAAUAAAUACUGAUACAGGGCUCUUUUGGGUCUUGUAAUUGGAAUGAGUACAAUUUAAACCUCUUAACGAGGAACAAUUGGAGGGCAAGUCUGGUGCCAGCAGCCGCGGUAAUUCCAGCUCCAAUAGCGUAUAUUAAAGUUGUUGCAGUUAAAAAGCUCGUAGUUGAACCUUGGGCCUGGCUGGCAGGUCCGCCUCACCGCGAGUACUUGUCCGGCCGGGCCUUUUUUCUGGAGAACCUCAUGCCCUUCACUGGGUGUGCUGGGGAACCAGGACUUUUACUUUGAAAAAAUUAGAGUGUUCAAAGCAGGCCUUUGCUCGAAUACGUUAGCAUGGAAUAAUAGAAUAGGACGUGCGGUCCUAUUUUGUUGGUUUCUAGGACCGCCGUAAUGAUUAAUAGGGACAGUCGGGGGCAUCAGUAUUCAAUUGUCAGAGGUGAAAUUCUUGGAUUUAUUGAAGACUAACUACUGCGAAAGCAUUUGCCAAGGAUGUUUUCAUUAAUCAGUGAACGAAAGUUAGGGGAUCGAAGACGAUCAGAUACCGUCGUAGUCUUAACCGUAAACUAUGCCGACUAGGGAUCGGGCGAUGUUUUCAUCUUGACUCGCUCGGCGCCUUACGAGAAAUCAAAGUUUUUGGUUCUGGGG